This 80-nucleotide small nucleolar RNA is filed under the name Chinchilla lanigera (long-tailed chinchilla). RNAcentral describes it as "Small nucleolar RNA SNORD115 (ENSCLAG00000021390.1)". It matches the Rfam family "Small nucleolar RNA SNORD115". From Rfam's summary of the family: HBII-52 is a member of the C/D class of snoRNAs, which contain the C (UGAUGA) and D (CUGA) box motifs. Lineage: Eukaryota; Metazoa; Chordata; Mammalia; Rodentia; Chinchillidae. The record is from Rfam by way of RNAcentral.
GGGUAGAUCAUGAUACCUUAAUUCGGCUGAAGAGAGGUGAUGACAUAAAAAUCAUGCUCAAUAGGCUUACUCUGAUGUCC